CAGCUAAGGUCCCAAAGUCAUGGUUAAGUGGGAAACGAUGUGGGAAGGCCCAGACAGCCAGGAUGUUGGCUUAGAAGCAGCCAUCAUUUAAAGAAAGCGUAAUAGCUCACUGGUCGAGUCGGCCUGCGCGGAAGAUGUAACGGGGCUAAACCAUGCACCGAAGCUGCGGCAGCGACGCUGAUGCGUUGUUGGGUAGGGGAGCGUUCUGUAAGCCUGCGAAGGUGGCCUGUGAGGGUUGCUGGAGGUAUCAGAAGUGCGAAUGCUGACAUAAGUAACGAUAAAGCGGGUGAAAAGCCCGCUCGCCGGAAGACCAAGGGUUCCUGUCCAACGUUAAUCGGGGCAGGGUGAGUCGACCCCUAAGGCGAGGCCGAAAGGCGUAGUCGAUGGGAAACGGGUUAAUAUUCCCGUACUUGGUGUUACUGCGAAGGGGGGACGGAGAAGGCUAUGUUGGCCGGGCGACGGUUGUCCCGGUUUAAGCGUGUAGGUGUGUGUUCCAGGUAAAUCCGGUUCACUUUAACACUGAGGCGUGACGACGAGGCACUACGGUGCUGAAGCAACAAAUGCCCUGCUUCCAGGAAAAGCCUCUAAGCAUCAGGUAACAUCAAAUCGUACCCCAAACCGACACAGGUGGUCAGGUAGAGAAUACCAAGGCGCUUGAGAGAACUCGGGUGAAGGAACUAGGCAAAAUGGUGCCGUAACUUCGGGAG
This 707-nucleotide ribosomal RNA is filed under the name Salmonella enterica subsp. enterica serovar Newport. Its description in RNAcentral is "bacterial LSU rRNA". It matches the Rfam family "Bacterial large subunit ribosomal RNA", at positions 1036 to 1742 of the family's 2925-position model. The record is from RNAcentral. Lineage: Bacteria; Pseudomonadati; Pseudomonadota; Gammaproteobacteria; Enterobacterales; Enterobacteriaceae.